UCAUGGCGAUGCAGCUGUCCUGAGAGCUGGACAGAGCCAGAAGAGUCCGAGACAUCUCCUCCUUAUCUCUGUUGGCGAGCAUGGAGAGCAGCCAGAACACCAUCUCCACCUGCAGGGACGGCCCACAGUGAGUCUACACAGCAGGUGUGGUCAGAGUGUUUCUGAGUGAAACUGGGCUGAACGCCAGUGAAGAGGAGAGAAAACAGCACUGACCUAUUUCUGCUCUGGACUGAAUCUGUGGCUCUGAUCCAAACCUCCAUUAAACUCAACCGGCUGCACACACAACGACAAAAUGGACGCCGGCGAGCGGAAACAGCCGAGGAUCAAACCGGUCGGUUUCAUCCAGAAGCACCAAAACCCCCUGAAACUACUGGACCAACAGCACUGACCCGUUCCUCCACAUGUCCCGAGGCUCCGGAUCACCUCGCUCGUCACGUUUCAACAGAUAAAAUUAAUAUUGAUUCAUUGUUUUUACCAAAGAUUCUCUGGAUUGUAAGAAUUUGGUGCUUUUCUUUGUUGUUAAUGACCCGAACAGAACAAGAUGUUCUGACAUA
Acanthopagrus latus (yellowfin seabream) is the source of this 554-nucleotide long non-coding RNA. RefSeq lists it as uncharacterized. The record is from RefSeq and is a predicted model, not a curated record. The transcript is spliced from 3 exons. NCBI's taxonomy places the organism in Eukaryota, Metazoa, Chordata, Actinopteri, Spariformes, Sparidae.